This 855-nucleotide ribosomal RNA is filed under the name uncultured bacterium. RNAcentral describes it as "bacterial SSU rRNA". It matches the Rfam family "Bacterial small subunit ribosomal RNA", at positions 28 to 896 of the family's 1533-position model. The record is from RNAcentral.
GACGAACGCUGGCGGCGUGCUUAACACAUGCAAGUCGAACGGAAAGGCCCGCUUGCGGGUACUCGAGUGGCGAACGGGUGAGUAACACGUGGGCAACCUGCCCUCAGCUCUGGGAUAACUCCGGGAAACCGGUGCUAAUACUGGAUAUCAACUUCUGCUCGCAUGGGUGGUUGUUGAAAGUUUUUCGGCUGGGGAUGGGCCCGCGGCCUAUCAGCUUGUUGGUGGGGUGAUGGCCUACCAAGGCGACGACGGGUAGCCGGCCUGAGAGGGCGACCGGCCACACUGGGACUGAGACACGGCCCAGACUCCUACGGGAGGCAGCAGUGGGGAAUAUUGCGCAAUGGGCGGAAGCCUGACGCAGCGACGUCGCGUGAGGGAUGACGGCCUUCGGGUUGUAAACCUCUUUCAGCUCUGACGAAGCGAGAGUGACGGUAGGAGCAGAAGAAGCACCGGCCAACUACGUGCCAGCAGCCGCGGUAAUACGUAGGGUGCAAGCGUUGUCCGGAAUUAUUGGGCGUAAAGAGCUCGUAGGCGGUCUGUCGCGUCGAAUGUGAAAACCCGGGGCUCAACCCCGGGCCUGCAUUCGAUACGGGCAGACUAGAGUUCGGUAGGGGAGUCUGGAAUUCCUGGUGUAGCGGUGAAAUGCGCAGAUAUCAGGAGGAACACCGGUGGCGAAGGCGGGACUCUGGGCCGAUACUGACGCUGAGGAGCGAAAGCGUGGGGAGCGAACAGGAUUAGAUACCCUGGUAGUCCACGCCGUAAACGUUGGGCGCUAGGUGUGGGGGUCCUUCCACGACCUCCGUGCCGCAGCUAACGCAUUAAGCGCCCCGCCUGGGGAGUACGGCCGCAAGGCUA